UGGGGAAUAUUGCACAAUGGGCGCAAGCCUGAUGCAGUGACGCCGCGUGGGGGAUGACGGCCUUCGGGUUGUAAACCUCUUUCGACAGGGACGAAGCUUUGGUGACGGUACCUGUAUAAGAAGCACCGGCUAACUACGUGCCAGCAGCCGCGGUAAUACGUAGGGUGCGAGCGUUGUCCGGAAUUACUGGGCGUAAAGAGCUCGUAGGUGGUUUGUCGCGUCGUCUGUGAAAUUCCGGGGCUUAACUUCGGGCGUGCAGGCGAUACGGGCAUAACUUGAGUGCUGUAGGGGAGACUGGAAUUCCUGGUGUAGCGGUGGAAUGCGCAGAUAUCAGGAGGAACACCGAUGGCGAAGGCAGGUCUCUGGGCAGUAACUGACGCUGAGGAGCGAAAGCAUGGGGAGCGAACA
RNAcentral lists this ribosomal RNA (408 nucleotides) under uncultured Corynebacterium sp. Its description in RNAcentral is "partial 16S ribosomal RNA". It matches the Rfam family "Bacterial small subunit ribosomal RNA", at positions 355 to 774 of the family's 1533-position model. The record is from RNAcentral. Lineage: Bacteria; Bacillati; Actinomycetota; Actinomycetes; Mycobacteriales; Corynebacteriaceae.